CCUACGGGAGGCAGCAGUGGGGAAUAUUGGACAAUGGGGGCAACCCUGAUCCAGCCAUGCCGCGUGAGUGAUGAAGGCCUUCGGGUUGUAAAGCUCUUUUGGCGGGGACGAUGAUGACGGUACCCGCAGAAUAAGCCCCGGCUAACUUCGUGCCAGCAGCCGCGGUAAGACGAAGGGGGCUAGCGUUGUUCGGAAUUACUGGGCGUAAAGCGAGUGUAGGUGGUUGUCCAAGUUGGAUGUGAAAGCCUUGAGCUCAACUCAAGAAAUGCAUUCAGGACUGGAUGACUAGAGGACCGGAGAGGAUAGUGGAAUUCCCAGUGUAGUGGUGAAAUACGUAGAGAUUGGGAAGAACACCAGUGGCGAAGGCGGCUAUCUGGACGGUUUCUGACACUAAGACUCGAAAGCGUGGGGAGCAAACAGGAUUAGAUACCCUGGUAGUCCACGCCGUAAACGAUGGGUGCUAGACGUUGGCGAGCUUGCUCGUCAGUGUCGCAGCUACGACGUAGUACACCCGCCGUCGGGAGGUACGGCCGCGAGUAGAACGUACAAAGAAGUAGACGGCGUGAGACGNGCCGACGGACGACGACGAGGGAGAGG
RNAcentral lists this ribosomal RNA (597 nucleotides) under uncultured bacterium. RNAcentral describes it as "bacterial SSU rRNA". The stretch from base 1 to 516 matches the Rfam family "Bacterial small subunit ribosomal RNA", at positions 338 to 873 of the family's 1533-position model. The record is from RNAcentral.